GAUGAACGCUGGCGGCGUGCCUAAUACAUGCAAGUCGAGCGAACAGACGAGGAGCUUGCUCCUCUGACGUUAGCGGCGGACGGGUGAGUAACACGUGGAUAACCUACCUAUAAGACUGGGAUAACUUCGGGAAACCGGAGCCAAUACCGGAUAAUAUAUUGAACCGCAUGGUUCAAUAGUGAAAGACGGUUUUGCUGUCACUUAUAGAUGGAUCCGCGCCGCAUUAGCUAGUUGGUAAGGUAACGGCUUACCAAGGCAACGAUGCGUAGCCGACCUGAGAGGGUGAUCGGCCACACUGGAACUGAGACACGGUCCAGACUCCUACGGGAGGCAGCAGUAGGGAAUCUUCCGCAAUGGGCGAAAGCCUGACGGAGCAACGCCGCGUGAGUGAUGAAGGUCUUCGGAUCGUAAAACUCUGUUAUUAGGGAAGAACAAAUGUGUAAGUAACUAUGCACGUCUUGACGGUACCAAAUCAGAAAGCCACGGCUAACUACGUG
This 497-nucleotide ribosomal RNA is filed under the name uncultured bacterium. Its description in RNAcentral is "partial 16S ribosomal RNA". It matches the Rfam family "Bacterial small subunit ribosomal RNA", at positions 28 to 507 of the family's 1533-position model. The record is from RNAcentral.